GGCGAACGCUAGCGGUACGCCUAACACAUGCAAGUCGAGCGGGAUUUUUUUAGAAGCUUGCUUCUGAAAAACAAGAGCGGCAAACGGGUGAGUAACACGUUGGUACUUGCCCCUUGGUCAGGGAUAGCCCAUCGAAAGAUGGGUUAAUACCGGAUAGUCUCCUCGGAGUAAAGAUUUAUCGCCAAGGGAGAGGCCUGCGUUCUAUCAGCUAGUUGGUGAGGUAAUGGCUUACCAAGGCUAUGACGGAUAACUGGUCUGAGAGGAUGAUCAGUCACAAUGGAACUGAGACACGGUCCAUACUCCUACGGGAGGCGGCAGUGAGGAAUAUUCCACAAUGGGCGAAAGCCUGAUGGAGCGAUACCGCGUGAAGGAUGAAGGUCUAACGAUUGUAAUCUUCUCUUCUGAGGGAGCAUAAUGAUAGUACCUCAGGAAUAAGGGACGGCUAAUUACGUGCCAGCAGCCGCGGUAAUACGUAAGUCCCAAGCGUUGCCCGGAAUUACUGG
RNAcentral lists this ribosomal RNA (503 nucleotides) under uncultured bacterium. Its description in RNAcentral is "bacterial SSU rRNA". It matches the Rfam family "Bacterial small subunit ribosomal RNA", at positions 28 to 557 of the family's 1533-position model. The record is from RNAcentral.